Molecule: ribosomal RNA, 497 nt
Filed under: uncultured bacterium
Lineage: Bacteria
Description: partial 16S ribosomal RNA
Rfam family: Bacterial small subunit ribosomal RNA
Source: RNAcentral
GAUGAACGCUGGCGGCGUGCCUAAUACAUGCAAGUCGAGCGAACAGACGAGGAGCUUGCUCCUCUGACGUUAGCGGCGGACGGGUGAGUAACACGUGGAUAACCUACCUAUAAGACUGGGAUAACUUCGGGAAACCGGAGCUAAUACCGGAUAAUAUAUUGAACCGCAUGGUUCAAUAGUGAAAGACGGUUUUGCUGUCACUUAUAGAUGGAUCCGCGCCGCAUUAGCUAGUUGGUAAGCUAACGGCUUAUCAAGGCAACUAUGCGUAGCCGACCUGAGAGGGUGAUCGGCCACACUGGAACUGAGACACGGUCCAGACUCCUACGGGAGGCAGCAGUAGGGAAUCUUCCGCAAUGGGCGAAAGCCUGACGGAGCAACGCCGCGUGAGUGAUGAAGGUCUUCGGAUCGUAAAACUCUGUUAUUAGGGAAGAACAAAUGUGUAAGUAACUAUGCACGUCUUGACGGUACCUAAUCAGAAAGCCACGGCUAACUACGUG